This 66-nucleotide transfer RNA is filed under the name Tanytarsus formosanus. Its description in RNAcentral is "tRNA-Arg". The record is from RNAcentral. Lineage: Eukaryota; Metazoa; Arthropoda; Insecta; Diptera; Chironomidae.
AAAUAAGAAGCAAAAAUGCAAUUAGUUUCGACCUAAUAAUUGAUAAUAUUAAAUUAUCCUUAUUUU